AGCAGUGCGGCCUAGUGAAUAGAGCACUGGACUGGGACUCAGGAGAGCUGGGUUUUAUUCCCAGCGCCGCUA
Molecule: transfer RNA, 72 nt
Filed under: Chelonia mydas (Green sea turtle)
Lineage: Eukaryota; Metazoa; Chordata; Testudines; Cheloniidae
Rfam family: tRNA
About the family: Transfer RNA (tRNA) molecules are approximately 80 nucleotides in length.
Source: Rfam by way of RNAcentral